Glycine soja is the source of this 1448-nucleotide long non-coding RNA. RefSeq lists it as uncharacterized. The transcript is spliced from 4 exons. Lineage: Eukaryota; Viridiplantae; Streptophyta; Magnoliopsida; Fabales; Fabaceae. The record is from RefSeq and is a predicted model, not a curated record.
UUUUGUAUUCAUUGUUGCUGAGUAGAUUGCUUAUUUGUGUUCUGCCUCGACUUUGAAUGACUUUUUUCGUGCAUGUCUAUGAUUAUUAAUUGAUUGGUGGGUUAUGCUCUGAAACAUGUUGCCCUUCGCAACUUAAAGUAUAUAUUAACUUAGCCUUCACAAUAUCAUUCAGGUUUUUUACCUAAGCUGUCUAUGUUAGCUCUAAUCUUUGGUUACUUUGCUAUCUUUAGCAUAUGUUGGUUAUGAUUUUUUCAUGUAGAUGUUUCUCAAUGUUCAACACUACUUUGGUGCAUGUCUAUGAUUCUUUUUUCUUUAGACUUUACCUUUCCUGUGUAUUAUAUUUGGGAGGGUAUUUGGAGAAAUCUAACAUGUUGCAAUAUUUGGAGAAAUCUAACAUGUUGAGGCAACCCUUCACAAGGCAAGACAACACUGUCAUCCAAACUUGUGUUCUUGCAUCCUCUGCAUAGCCUUUAUCGGUAACGUAUAGACGCCUACAAAAUCCCAUCAGCAGAUUUUUUGGAAUUUUUGUUUAUACAGGGCCCAUCAAAUUUACGAGUACCGAGAAUUGUGCACCGAUUUUACGCGUCAUUCCAUCUUGAGCAGGUCACGACUUUCACCCCUAAACAUUUACUUAUUUAUGUUAAUAUCAAAUAAAUAAUAUGCUUCAAAUGUUAAUCUACAGAACAUCGUUGAGGUUCCUUUUGCUUAUCAUAGACAAUGGUCCCCAAAUUAUCCAAGUUAUGUGUUAUUUGACUACGAAGGAGACAAACACUUUAUAAAGUUUCAUAAAUAUGGUAACCGAUUCUUUUUUGGUGAUGGACUGAAGGAACUUAGGAGAACCCAUGGCAUUCACGAAAGUGUUCUGAUGCGUUUUGUUGGAAGGGACAAAAAUACUACUUUCAGUGUGGACGUUGUGGGACCUCUACACCAAAGGGCAGCCACAACCAUAAGGCACCAUGUUUUUACCAUUGAUGUCUCUAAAGAUAUGAUACAACACAAUUAUCAAUUGGUUCUGCCACCAGAGACUUCAAUUUAUUUAACUGCAUCAAAAAAAUAUGAUUGUAGAUCGUGGUAGUGGUAAGCAUCACAAAUGGAUGAUCACCAUGAAUAAUGGCCUAUCAUGUGUUGCUGACGCGUGGAUCCAUUAUUUAGGUGACUGUCAUUUGAAGCCUGGAGAUGAGGUCAUCUUCUUCUACAACAUUGACCAACAUUUAUAGGAGGUCCUCUAUAGGAAGCAAGUUAAAUGGGAUGACGAAGAGGAUGAAGCUGAAUCCCCUUGAAGAACUAUUUAAUUACUUAUCUUUGUUUUAUUUUGAUAUAUUAUGUCUGUAACUUAAUUACCCUUGGGUAAUGAACAAUGUUAUUUUACUUUUGUUUCUAUUUAAACAUUGCUAGCAACACUACAAAUAUUAUUUUGUUAUAUUCUAUGUUUGUCGGUUUGAUUUUUC